RNAcentral lists this ribosomal RNA (492 nucleotides) under uncultured bacterium. RNAcentral describes it as "partial 16S ribosomal RNA". It matches the Rfam family "Bacterial small subunit ribosomal RNA", at positions 29 to 507 of the family's 1533-position model. The record is from RNAcentral.
AGUGAACGCUGGCGGUAGGCCUAACACAUGCAAGUCGAACGGCAGCACAGUAAGAGCUUGCUCUUACGGGUGGCGAGUGGCGGACGGGUGAGGAAUACAUCGGAAUCUACUUUUUCGUGGGGGAUAACGUAGGGAAACUUACGCUAAUACCGCAUACGACCUACGGGUGAAAGCAGGGGAUCUUCGGACCUUGCGCGAUUGAAUGAGCCGAUGUCGGAUUAGCUAGUUGGCGGGGUAAAGGCCCACCAAGGCGACGAUCCGUAGCUGGUCUGAGAGGAUGAUCAGCCACACUGGAACUGAGACACGGUCCAGACUACUACGGGAGGCAGCAGUGGGGAAUAUUGGACAAUGGGCGCAAGCCUGAUCCAGCCAUGCCGCGUGGGUGAAGAAGGCCUUCGGGUUGUAAAGCCCUUUUGUUGGGAAAGAAAAGCAGCAGGUUAAUACCCCGCUGUUCUGACGGUACCCAAAGAAUAAGCACCGGCUAACUUCGUG